This 257-nucleotide ribosomal RNA is filed under the name uncultured bacterium. RNAcentral describes it as "partial 16S ribosomal RNA". It matches the Rfam family "Bacterial small subunit ribosomal RNA", at positions 524 to 776 of the family's 1533-position model. The record is from RNAcentral.
UACGUAGGGGGGCUAGCGUUGUCCGGAAUCAUUGGGCGUAAAGAGCGUGUAGGCGGCCCGGUAAGUCCGCUGUGAAAGUCGGGGGCUCAACCCUCGAAUGCCGGUGGAUACUGUCGGGCUAGAGUGCGGGAAGAGGCGAGUGGAAUUCCUGGUGUAGCGGUGAAAUGCGCAGAUAUCAGGAGGAACACCAAUUGCGUAAGGCAGCUCGCUGGGACGUAACUGACGCUGAGACGCGAAAGCGUGGGGGAGCAAACAGG